Molecule: ribosomal RNA, 541 nt
Filed under: Bactrocera trivialis
Lineage: Eukaryota; Metazoa; Arthropoda; Insecta; Diptera; Tephritidae
Description: partial 16S ribosomal RNA
Rfam family: Bacterial large subunit ribosomal RNA
Source: RNAcentral
UUAACAAAAACAUGUCUUUUUGAGUUAUUUUUAAAGUCUGACCUGCCCACUGAAGUUAUUUAAAUGGCCGCAGUAUUCUAACUGUGCAAAGGUAGCAUAAUCAUUAGUCUUUUAAUUGAAGGCUGGUAUGAACGGUUGGACGAGGUAUAAGCUGUUUCAUAUAAAUUUAUAAUAGAAUUUUAUAUUUUAGUCAAAAAGCUAAAAUUUAAUUAAAAGACGAGAAGACCCUAUAAAUCUUUAUACUUUAUGUUGUUUAAAUUUUUUGGAUUAAUUUUAUUUUUAUAGUUUGAGGUAUUUUGUUGGGGUGAUAUUAAAAUUUAAUGAACUUUUAAUUAUUAAAAAUCAUUAAUUUAUGAAUUAUUGAUCCAUUAGUAGUGAUUAUAAGAUUAAGUUACUUUAGGGAUAACAGCGUAAUUUUUUUGGAGAGUUCAUAUCGAUAAAAAAGUUUGCGACCUCGAUGUUGGAUUAAGAUAUAUUUUUAGGUGUAGCCGCUUAAAUGUUAAGUCUGUUCGACUUUUAAAUUCUUACGUGAUCUGAGUUC